Molecule: transfer RNA, 83 nt
Filed under: Canis lupus familiaris (dog)
Lineage: Eukaryota; Metazoa; Chordata; Mammalia; Carnivora; Canidae
Also listed under: 1 other name
Rfam family: tRNA
About the family: Transfer RNA (tRNA) molecules are approximately 80 nucleotides in length. Their secondary structure includes four short double-helical elements and three loops (D, anti-codon, and T loops).
Source: Rfam by way of RNAcentral
GCCUGGGUGGCUCAAUGGUUGAGUGUCUGCCUUUGGCUCAGGGUAUAAUCCCGGGGUCUUGGGAUCGAGUCCCACAUCAGGCU